CUUUAAUCAUAUUUUGAAACACUCACGUUAGGUUUGGUGCUGGUUAGUUAAGCAGCACUUUACUGUGUGCCCGUUAAACCUAAAUACCACUUCAGCUGCUGAUCUAAGGCUUCUAAAUGGCAAAAUGUUUAGCCUGAAGCUUGAUAUAUGAUUAUUAUGACUAAAUUUAUCACAAAAUUGGAAAGAUACGGAUUUGAAGGGUUGACUGUUCAGUAGUUAAAGAAUUGGCUGGAUGUGGUCAGAGAAUUGUGGUUAACUAAUCUGUGUCCAGUUGGAGGCUCAUGACGAGUGGUGUCCUUUAGGGGUCUGUCUUGGGACCUGUGCUCUUCAAUAUCUUCAUUAAUGGCAUAGAGAGUGGGAUUGAGUGCAUCUCUGCAAGUUUGCUGAUGACGCCAAGCUGAGUGGUGCACUUCACACAAUAGAAGGAAGGGAUGCCAUCCAAAUGGGCCUGGAUGUGUUCAAAAAGUGGGCCCAUGAGAACCUAAUGAGUUUCAACAAGGCCAAGUGCAGGGUGUUGCAUAUGAUUGGGGCAAUCCUAGAUAUGAGUACAGACUGGGAGAAGAACUCAUUGUGAACCAUGCAAAGAAGGACUGGAGGGUGUGCUGGUGGAUGGAAAGCUGGACAUGUGCCAACUCUGUGCAUUUGUGACACAGAAAGCCACAAGUAUACUGGACUGACUGCAUCAAAAGAACAGUGGCCAGCAAGGCAAGGGAUGCAAUUUUCCCCCUCUAUUCUACCCUCCGGAGUCCUUAGGUCAAAUUUUCAGGGUGGAAAAAAAAAAAAAGCCCCAGCAAAAAUAGUAGUUUGAUUUUGCUGUUUUCUGUACGUGCACCCCAAUGGCAAAUGAACUUUCAUUUGGAGAGAAGUCCUGGUGAGAGAAGAAAGCAAGAAAAGCAUCAGGAUAACAUAGAAGCUGUGAGGGAGACAUUCCUUCUUCUAUGAGGCCUAUCUAAAUCUCUGUUUGAAAUACAGCAUAUCAUGUUUUAAUCCCCAAAGAUUUCCUUGUGUGUGCUAUUUGCUCAGUCUAUUUGUUUCCCACCCACAAGAAGACAGAAAAAGAACAUGGGCUCCUGCUCUUGUGCAUGGUGUCUUUUCCCAGGCGUUAGGAGAUUUUUGACUGCGACAAACUUCCCACUCAGUUAACACCUCCUUAUCUGAAGUCCAAGCACUUGCAUAUACGGACUAAGCUGGAGCGUGACUGCGAAGCACAGUAAUGCCCAGAGUGGAUGCUCUUGCUCAGCUCUCUCCUAGGG
This 1253-nucleotide long non-coding RNA is filed under the name Phasianus colchicus (ring-necked pheasant). Its description in RNAcentral is "lncRNA (ENSPCLG00000001920.1)". Lineage: Eukaryota; Metazoa; Chordata; Aves; Galliformes; Phasianidae. The record is from RNAcentral.